This 425-nucleotide ribosomal RNA is filed under the name Escherichia coli. Its description in RNAcentral is "partial 23S ribosomal RNA". It matches the Rfam family "Bacterial large subunit ribosomal RNA", at positions 2208 to 2632 of the family's 2925-position model. The record is from RNAcentral. Lineage: Bacteria; Pseudomonadati; Pseudomonadota; Gammaproteobacteria; Enterobacterales; Enterobacteriaceae.
UAAUGUUUGAUGUUCUAACGUUGACCCGUAAUCCGGGUUGCGGACAGUGUCUGGUGGGUAGUUUGACUGGGGCGGUCUCCUCCUAAAGAGUAACGGAGGAGCACGAAGGUUGGCUAAUCCUGGUCGGACAUCAGGAGGUUAGUGCAAUGGCAUAAGCCAGCUUGACUGCGAGCGUGACGGCGCGAGCAGGUGCGAAAGCAGGUCAUAGUGAUCCGGUGGUUCUGAAUGGAAGGGCCAUCGCUCAACGGAUAAAAGGUACUCCGGGGAUAACAGGCUGAUACCGCCCAAGAGUUCAUAUCGACGGCGGUGUUUGGCACCUCGAUGUCGGCUCAUCACAUCCUGGGGCUGAAGUAGGUCCCAAGGGUAUGGCUGUUCGCCAUUUAAAGUGGUACGCGAGCUGGGUUUAGAACGUCGUGAGACAGUUC